Molecule: long non-coding RNA, 884 nt
Organism: Triticum aestivum (bread wheat)
Lineage: Eukaryota; Viridiplantae; Streptophyta; Magnoliopsida; Poales; Poaceae
Exons: 4
Source: RefSeq, a predicted model, not a curated record
UGAAAGGGAGAAGAGAGGUUGAACCAUGGGGAAGGGGGAAGAGGAAGGCAGCCGCUAAGCCGCCCACUAGGAAGCGGAUGGACAAGCUCGAUAUGGUCUUUUCCUGCCCAUUCUGCAAUGAUAGGAGCAGCGUUGAAUGCCGGAUUGAUAUGGAAACCUGAUUGGUGAGGCUAAUUGUGAAAUCUGACAGGAAAGCUUCAGCAGCCAGCACCACUGCAAAUGGCGGCUUCGGCGAGUCGGAUGGACAACGGCAGCGGCUGAGCUUCUCCAUGGCCUGCUGCAGUUCCUAGGAGAGAGAGCUUCGAAGGUGAGGAGAUAUAGAAGAACAGAAGGGAGAGGAGGAAGGGCAGGGGCGUGGCGGCCUUGACGGUGAACCUCGGGUUGCGACGGUCUCCGGCGAGAGGCGGCGUGGGGUGGCGGCGCGAGCCUACGGAGCGGCGGCGGCUUGGAGCUGCGGGAGCUCGGGCGUUUGGAUGCGUUUGGAUCGCAGGCCUAAGGUUAUGCAUAUUGGCAGGUGGUCGCUUUCAUGGUUGGAGUGAGCAGCUUGGCCAGGUACCAUGCGCAACAAUCCCACGGAAUCUACCACCCUUCAUGGCUGCCAGAGCUGGUGUAGUGUGGCGAAGAUGUCGUCAAUUGUGGCGACACAAAUGGUGAGCGACCAAUAAAAAGAAGUAAGAUUGCCGUUGAUGUUCUUGUGCAGGAGUGCUCCGAUUAUUGAUCAAGGGAGCAUUGGUCUGAUUUAAGAGGAGAUUAGUAGCUUAUUUUGUUCACAUAUGUUUAAGAGGGGACCGAGAAAAUUUCUUGCUAAGCUUAUAACAGUGUUGCACGGGCAAACUUCUGCCAUGAAGAAAUAUAACUAGAAACACGGUGUUUUUGAUUGGGAA